UAAUCGAUGGGGGGACGCAGUAGGAUAGGCGAAGCGUGCGAUUGGAUUGCACGUCUAAGCAGUAAGGCUGAGUAUUAGGCAAAUCCGGUACUCGUUAAGGCUGAGCUGUGAUGGGGAGAAGACAUUGUGUCUUCGAGUCGUUGAUUUCACACUGCCGAGAAAAGCCUCUAGAUAGAAAAUAGGUGCCCGUACCGCAAACCGACACAGGUAGUCAAGAUGAGAAUUCUAAGGUGAGCGAGCGAACUCUCGUUAAGGAACUCGGCAAAAUGACCCCGUAACUUCGGGAGAAGGGGUGCUCUUUAGGGUUAACGCCCAGAAGAGCCGCAGUGAAUAGGCCCAAGCGACUGUUUAU
RNAcentral lists this ribosomal RNA (352 nucleotides) under Staphylococcus aureus. RNAcentral describes it as "partial 23S ribosomal RNA". It matches the Rfam family "Bacterial large subunit ribosomal RNA", at positions 1458 to 1807 of the family's 2925-position model. The record is from RNAcentral. Lineage: Bacteria; Bacillati; Bacillota; Bacilli; Caryophanales; Staphylococcaceae.